UGCACAGGUGCUGCAUGGCUGUCGUCAGCUCGUGUCGUGAGAUGUUGGGUUAAGUCCCGCAACGAGCGCAACCCUUAUCCCUAGUUGCCAUCAGGUAAGCUGGGAACUCUGGGGAGACUGCCGGUGAUAACCGGAGGAAGGCGGGGAUGACGUCAAGUCCUCAUGGCCCUUACAUCCCGGGCUACACACGUGCUACAAUGGCAGGUACAGAGGGCUGCGAAGCCGCGAGGUGGAGCGAAUCCCAGAAAACCUGUCUCAGUCCGGAUUGAAGUCUGCAACUCGACUUCAUGAAGGCGGAAUCGCUAGUAACCGCGAAUCAGCAGGUCGCGGUGAAUACGUUCCCGGGCCUU
RNAcentral lists this ribosomal RNA (350 nucleotides) under uncultured Latescibacterota bacterium. Its description in RNAcentral is "bacterial SSU rRNA". It matches the Rfam family "Bacterial small subunit ribosomal RNA", at positions 1031 to 1382 of the family's 1533-position model. Lineage: Bacteria; Pseudomonadati; Candidatus Latescibacterota. The record is from RNAcentral.